UUAAGUAAAAUCUGUGUGGAGUUGGAACUCGUCUUGCCUACGUUUGCCUACGUUUUCCGCUAGGGGCGCUGUUCCAACUGCAUACAAAUUCGAGCUA
Molecule: microRNA precursor, 97 nt
Filed under: Bombyx mori (domestic silkworm)
Lineage: Eukaryota; Metazoa; Arthropoda; Insecta; Lepidoptera; Bombycidae
Description: mir-2807 microRNA precursor family
Rfam family: mir-2807 microRNA precursor family
Source: Rfam by way of RNAcentral